RNAcentral lists this ribosomal RNA (1604 nucleotides) under seawater metagenome. RNAcentral's name for it is "bacterial LSU rRNA". It matches the Rfam family "Bacterial large subunit ribosomal RNA", at positions 867 to 2539 of the family's 2925-position model. The record is from RNAcentral.
CGUUGAGGCGCAGCGGUAUAUUAUGAACUUUCCGGGGGUAAAGCUCUGUUUAGGUGCGGGCUGCGAAAGCGGUACCAAUCUUUUGCAAACUAAGAAUACCGGAAAUGAUUUCAAUCUACCAGUGAGACUGCGGGGGACAAGCUUCGUAGUCAAGAGGGAAACAGCCCAGACCACCAGCUAAGGCUCCUAAAUAAAAACUAAGUGGCAAAGGAGGUGAAAAUGCAGUGACAAUCAGGAGGUUUGCCUAGAAGCAGCCACCCUUUAAAGAGUGCGUAAUAGCUCACUGAUCAAGCGUUUUCGCGCCGAAAAUGACCGGAACUAAGUUUUUUGCCGAAGCUGUGGCUACAUCACAUAGAUGAUGUAGGGUAGAGGAGCGUUCCGUCCAGGGGGAAGCCAAGCGCGUAAGCCGCGGUCGACAGGACGGAAGUGAGAAUGUCAGAUUGAGUAACGUAAACAUUGGUGAGAAUCCAAUGCCCCGAAAACUCAAGGGUUCCUGCGCAAGGCUCGUCCGCGCAGGGUCAGUCAGGACCUAAGGUGAGGCCGAAAGGCGUAAUUGAUGGCAAGAAGGUUUAUAUUCCUUCACUAAUCUAGGCUUAGUCCUGAGGGACGAACAAAUAACACUCGGCACAACGGCCACACUUGGCAGUAUGGAUAAACCCGUUGCUGUUUGAUGCUAUUUAUUCCAAGAAAAGCUCAUUCGACUUUGAGUCUAGAUUACCUGUACCGUAAACCGACACAGGUGAGUGGGUUGAAUAAACUAAGGGGAGCGAGAUAACUCUCUCUAAGGAACUCGGCAAAUUGGCUCUGUACCUUCGGAAGAAAGAGUGCCCCUUCAUGGGGCCGCAGUGAAGAGAUCCAGGCGACUGUUUACCAAAAACACAGGUCUCCGCAAAGUCGUAAGACGACGUAUGGGGGCUGACACCUGCCCAGUGCCAGAAGGUUAAAGAAGUUGGUCAAUCUUUGAUGAAGCUAACAACUGAAGCCCUGGUGAACGGCGGCAGUAACUAUAACUGUCCUAAGGUAGCGAAAUUCCUUGUCGGGUAAGUUCCGACCCGCACGAAAGGUGUAACGAUCUGGAUACUGUCUCAGAGAGAGACUCGGUGAAAUAAAACUAGCUGUGAAGAUGCGGCUUACCUGCACACGGACAGAAAGACCCUAUGAAGCUUUACUGUAACCUGGAAUUGCUUUCAAGCUUAUUUUGCGCAGCUUAGGUGGGAGGCUACGAACCUUUUCUUCCGGGAAGAGGGGAGCCAUCAGUGAGAUACCACUCUUGGUAAGCUAGAAAGCUCAGUCUUAACCGUUAUCCGGUAAGACGACAGUUUCAGGCGGGCAGUUUGACUGGGGCAGUCACCUCCCAAAAGGUAAUGGAGGUGUACAAAGGUUCUCUCAGGCUGGACGGAAAUCAGCCAUAGAGUGUAAAAGCAUAAGAGAGCUUGACUGCGAGACGGACAUGUCAAGCAGAGACGAAAGUCGGUUUUAGUGAUCCGACGGUGCUGAGUGGAAAGGCCGUCGCUCAACGGAUAAAAGUUACUCUAGGGAUAACAGGCUAAUCUCCCCCAAGAGUUCACAUCGACGGGGAGGUUUGGCACCUCGAUGUCGGCUCA